This 377-nucleotide ribosomal RNA is filed under the name uncultured Caldisericum sp. RNAcentral's name for it is "bacterial SSU rRNA". It matches the Rfam family "Bacterial small subunit ribosomal RNA", at positions 1008 to 1382 of the family's 1533-position model. The record is from RNAcentral. Lineage: Bacteria; Pseudomonadati; Caldisericota; Caldisericia; Caldisericales; Caldisericaceae.
GUGGAGCAAUCCACGAGACCCAUACACAGGUGCUGCAUGGUUGUCGUCAGCUCGUGUCGUGAGAUGUACGGUUAAGUCCGUGAACGAGCGCAACCCCUGCCCUUAGUUGCUAAUAUGCGAAAGCAUAUGCACUCUAAGGGGACCGCCAGCGGAAAGCUGGAGGAAGGUGGGGAUGACGUCAAAUCCUCAUGGCCUUUAUGUCCAGGGCUACACACAUGCGACAAUGGUCGAGACAACGCGUUGCAAACCAGUAAUGGUAAGCUAAUCGCAUAAAAUCGACCUCAGUACGGAUUGAGGGUUGCAAUUCACCCUCAUGAAGCUGGAGUUGCUAGUAACCGCAGGUCAGCUAUACUGCGAUGAAUACGUUCCCGGGGCUU